CACGUAGGGCGCAAGCGUUGUCCGGAAUUAUUGGGCGUAAAGAGCUCGUAGGUGGUUUGUUACGUCCGCUGUGAAAUCCUAGGGCUUAACCCUGGGCUUGCAGUGGAUACGGGCAGACUAGAGGUAGGUAGGGGAGAAUGGAAUUCCUGGUGUAGCGGUGAAAUACGUAGAGAUUGGGAAGAACACCAGUGGCGAAGGCGGCUAUCUGGACGGUUACUGACGCUAAGACGCGAAAGCGUGGGGAGCAAACAGG
This 253-nucleotide ribosomal RNA is filed under the name uncultured bacterium. Its description in RNAcentral is "partial 16S ribosomal RNA". It matches the Rfam family "Bacterial small subunit ribosomal RNA", at positions 524 to 776 of the family's 1533-position model. The record is from RNAcentral.